Molecule: long non-coding RNA, 696 nt
Filed under: Rattus norvegicus (Norway rat)
Lineage: Eukaryota; Metazoa; Chordata; Mammalia; Rodentia; Muridae
Description: long non-coding RNA NONRATT010278
Source: RNAcentral
GACCUGGGGACUUCACUGCUCCUAGGAGGAAGCAAGAAUGCAGCAUGGGCUGCAGAGUACCAGACACCAAGGCAUGGAAGCAAUGGGAACAGUCAACUGUGGACAGAAGCUUCUAGAACCAUGAGAUGAGGGCGUACGACCAGAAGACACUGCAGAAGCUUCCUUCCUGUUGGCUGAAGAGAGAAGGCACUGCUGAGGAACGAGCCCUUCUUUUGACAGUACUGGGGAUAGAUCCAAGGUCGGGCACACAAGGCAAGUGCUCUCCCAUUGAGCUGCGGCCCCAGCAGGCAUUCUCAUUUUGCAUGGACUCUGCUAAUUACUGUGAGACAAUACCCUGCACUCUUGGAAAAGAAGCUAUAAUGAAAAGUGACCCAGUCAGAAGAGCCAUAUCCUCACCUCACAAAACAUGGGCAACUUUUUGGCGAAAUCCACCACUCUGGUGAUUGCUGGUGUGAUGAUUUUUGUAAAAUGGCUGAAGGCUUCCAGAUCAACCUUGCCACCUUCCGGGGCGUUCACAAUGGGUGCUUGUCCAAUGUCUUCAGGCUGAGGAGGAGAAAGUGAGAACAGUUUCAGCAAAGCUGAAAGAAACCCGUGUUUAUCACAGCUCUCGAAUGGCAGGGAAACAAGGCUGUCACUUCUGGUUGCCCCUGUGUGUUGACAAAGUAGAUAAUUUUCACCUCAAUUAUGUCUUUGAGC